Molecule: ribosomal RNA, 253 nt
Filed under: uncultured bacterium
Lineage: Bacteria
Description: partial 16S ribosomal RNA
Rfam family: Bacterial small subunit ribosomal RNA
Source: RNAcentral
UACGUAGGUGGCAAGCGUUGGCCGGAUUUACUGGGAGGAAAGAGCGCGCAGGCGGCCAAGUCAGUCGAAUGUGAAAGCCCCCGGCUUAACUGGGGAGGGUCAUUCGAUACUGCUCGGCUCGAAGACAGGAGAGGGAAGUGGAAUUCCCGGUGUAGUGGUGAAAUGCGUAGAUAUGACAUAGAACACCGAUAGCGAAGGCAGCUUGCUACACAAUCAUUGACACUGAGGCACGAAAGCGUGGGGAUCAAACAGG